Molecule: transfer RNA, 77 nt
Filed under: bacterium
Lineage: Bacteria
Description: tRNA-Trp
Rfam family: tRNA
About the family: Transfer RNA (tRNA) molecules are approximately 80 nucleotides in length. Their secondary structure includes four short double-helical elements and three loops (D, anti-codon, and T loops). Further hydrogen bonds mediate the characteristic L-shaped molecular structure. tRNAs have two regions of fundamental functional importance: the anti-codon, which is responsible for specific mRNA codon recognition, and the 3' end, to which the tRNAs corresponding amino acid is attached (by aminoacyl-tRNA synthetases). tRNAs cope with the degeneracy of the genetic code in two manners: having more than one tRNA (with a specific anti-codon) for a particular amino acid; and 'wobble' base-pairing, i.e. permitting non-standard base-pairing at the 3rd anti-codon position.
Source: RNAcentral
AGGCUCGUAGCUCCAAUUGGUAGAGCGUCGGUUUCCAAAACCGAUUGUUGUCGGUUCGAAUCCGUCCGAGCCUGCCA